CGAGAUGCCCUCUCCCUAGCUGUGCGCAAUGUAAAUUAAUUGAGCACAAGGUGUGCACGAGCGAAUGGAUGGAAGGAUUGUGUGUCAAUACUCC
RNAcentral lists this small RNA (94 nucleotides) under Hordeum vulgare subsp. vulgare (domesticated barley). Lineage: Eukaryota; Viridiplantae; Streptophyta; Magnoliopsida; Poales; Poaceae. The record is from RNAcentral.